RNAcentral lists this ribosomal RNA (253 nucleotides) under uncultured bacterium. Its description in RNAcentral is "partial 16S ribosomal RNA". It matches the Rfam family "Bacterial small subunit ribosomal RNA", at positions 524 to 776 of the family's 1533-position model. The record is from RNAcentral.
UACGAAGGGUGCAAGCGUUACCCGGAAUUACUGGGCGUAAAGCGUGCGUAGGCGGUUUGUUAAGUCUGUCGUGAAAGCCCCGGGCUCAACCUGGGAAUGGCGAUGGAUACUGGCGAGCUAGAGUACGGUAGAGGAGAGUGGAAUUCCCGGUGUAGCAGUGAAAUGCGUAGAGAUCGGGAGGAACAUCAGUUGCGAAGGCGGCUCUCUGGACCAGUACUGACGCUGAGGCACGAAAGCGUGGGGAGCAAACAGG